This is a non-coding RNA of Paramuricea clavata, 522 nucleotides long. The record is from the annotation of a GenBank genome assembly. NCBI's taxonomy places the organism in Eukaryota, Metazoa, Cnidaria, Anthozoa, Malacalcyonacea, Plexauridae.
AAAAAUAGAGAUCAGGAAUGCGACCGCAAAAGACAAGGACCGCGGGCGCAAAAACGUAAGACGAACGUUUUGUUGUCAUAUCGAAAGCUUAUUUUUGGUGAUUCCUUUAAAAUAUUAUGUAAAUUCUUUGUUAAUACACGAAAAAACUGAAAGUUAAUUUUUCCACAUAAAUUGUCUUGACUUUUCUCACGAUGGAGAAACAUUUGGUCCUUUGGAGCCGGAUCUAGAGUGGAAAAAUAGCGAGAUUUGACCACGAAUUUGACUCGAAAAAUUUGACUAUUAAAUGGCGACAAACGAAAACAUUCUUCGAGAACGAAAGAAGUCAGCGAAAGGAAGACUUACGAAAGCGAGAAAUCAACUAAAAAGCUUGCUGAACACUCAAUUAUACGGACAGUUGACGAGUAAGAAUGCUAUUCGACGAGCUAUUAACAAGGUAAGCUCAGAAUAUGACAUUAUCGAGAAAAUUAUUAAUGCUUUAAAGGAAAUUUAUGCUGUUAGUACAUCCCACGACGAAAAUACGGA